This 301-nucleotide ribosomal RNA is filed under the name uncultured bacterium. RNAcentral describes it as "partial 16S ribosomal RNA". It matches the Rfam family "Bacterial small subunit ribosomal RNA", at positions 509 to 808 of the family's 1533-position model. The record is from RNAcentral.
CAGUCGCCGCGGUAAUACAGAGGGUGCAAGCGUUAAUCGGAAUUACUGGGCGUAAAGCGCGCGUAGGUGGUUUGUUAAGUUGGAUGUGAAAUCACCGGGCUCAACCUGGGAACUGCAUCCAAAACUGGCAAGCUAGAGUAUGGUAGAGGGUGGUGGAAUUUCCUGUGUAGCGGUGAAAUGCGUAGAUAUAGGAAGGAACACCAGUGGCGAAGGCGACCACCUGGACUGAUACUGACACUGAGGUGCGAAAGGGUGGGGAGCAAACAGGAUUAGAUACCCGGUAGUCCCUGUCUCUUAUACC